This 641-nucleotide ribosomal RNA is filed under the name uncultured bacterium. RNAcentral describes it as "bacterial SSU rRNA". It matches the Rfam family "Bacterial small subunit ribosomal RNA", at positions 97 to 752 of the family's 1533-position model. The record is from RNAcentral.
GGCGAACGGGUGAGUAACACGUGAGUAACCUUCCCUUGACUCUGGGAUAAGCCUGGGAAACCGGGUCUAAUACCGGAUGCGACCUUUCACCGCAUGGUGGGGGGUGGAAAGAUUUAUCGGUCUUGGAUGGACUCGCGGCCUAUCAGCUUGUUGGUGGGGUAAUGGCCCACCAAGGCGACGACGGGUAGCCGGCCUGAGAGGGUGACCGGCCACACUGGGACUGAGACACGGCCCAGACUCCUACGGGAGGCAGCAGUGGGGAAUAUUGCACAAUGGGCGCAAGCCUGAUGCAGCGACGCCGCGUGAGGGAUGACGGCCUUCGGGUUGUAAACCUCUUUCAGUAGGGAAGAAGCGAAAGUGACGGUACCUGCAGAAGAAGCGCCGGCUAACUACGUGCCAGCAGCCGCGGUAAUACGUAGGGCGCGAGCGUUAUCCGGAAUUAUUGGGCGUAAAGAGCUCGUAGGCGGUUUGUCGCGUCUGCCGUGAAAGUCCGGGGCUUAACCCCGGAUCUGCGGCGGGUACGGGCAGACUGGAGUGCAGUAGGGGAGACUGGAAUUCCUGGUGUAGCGGUGAAAUGCGCAGAUAUCAGGAGGAACACCGAUGGCGAAGGCAGGUCUCUGGGCUGUUACUGACGCUGAGGA